UGGGGAAUUUUGUCGCAAUGGGGGGAAACCCGUGACGCAGCAACGCCGCGUGAGUGAUGAAGGCUUUCGGGUCGUAAAGCUCUGUCAGUGGGGAAGAAAUGAGAGUGGCUAAUACCCGCUUUUCUUGACGGUACCCACAAAGGAAGCACCGGCUAACUCCGUGCCAGCAGCCACGGUAAU
Molecule: ribosomal RNA, 180 nt
Filed under: uncultured Geobacteraceae bacterium
Lineage: Bacteria; Pseudomonadati; Thermodesulfobacteriota; Desulfuromonadia; Geobacterales; Geobacteraceae
Description: partial 16S ribosomal RNA
Rfam family: Bacterial small subunit ribosomal RNA
Source: RNAcentral